RNAcentral lists this ribosomal RNA (253 nucleotides) under uncultured bacterium. RNAcentral's name for it is "partial 16S ribosomal RNA". It matches the Rfam family "Bacterial small subunit ribosomal RNA", at positions 524 to 776 of the family's 1533-position model. The record is from RNAcentral.
UACAGAGGUCUCGAGCGUUAGGCGGAAUCACUGGGCUUAAAGCGUGUGUAGGCGGAUCGUUAAGUGCCUUGUGAAAUCCCACGGCUCAACCGUGGAACUGCUUGGCAUACUGGCGGUCUUGAGCAACCUAGGGGCGAGCGGAACAAAUGGUGGAGCGGUGAAAUGCGUAGAUAGCAUUUGGAACGCCAAUGGUGAAAACAGCUCGCUGGGGGUUUGCUGACGCUGAGACACGAAAGCCAGGGGAGCAAACGGG